GGAGGCCACCUCAGAAGUGUCAUCUCACUCAGCACUCAUUCCCCUGCGGCAAACAGAGACUGAGCAGAUUGAGUGACCCUGGGGCAGAGAGGCCUGGAAGGAAAGGUGUUCAGCCAGUGGGUUGUAAGGCGCUGGUCAGCACCUGCUGAAAUGCUCCUACGGACAGCCCCCUCCUCAAAGACUGUCUCAUUACACAUGGCAGGUUCUAGAGACUCCAGGGGGAGAGCUGCUUUCAAGGCCACAAUGUGUCUGUCCUCCUGGUCCAACCUAUCUGCCUUGUAUGUAUGUAUGUAUUUAUUUUAUUUAUUGUGAAAAGAAACUGCAAACACUAAUAAAAAGCAUAAUUGAGAAGGACAAAAGGCUUGGGGCACCUACCCAAGUGGGGGUGCUACAGGAAGCCUUUGCUAGGGUGUCUGUUGUGCUGCGUGGUUUGUUUUGUUUGCCCCUUUAUUUUGCUUUGCUUGCUCAGUCUGCCUUACCUUUAGAUGCUUCUCACCCUGCGACAGACUUGUGUUUCCUUGUGUUCAGGUUCUGCCUUAAAGCAAGCUUCCAGGCCAUUGGAGUUUCUGUUCAGGGCAUUACAAAUUUCCACAAGAUAUAAAGAGC
This 606-nucleotide long non-coding RNA is filed under the name Marmota monax (woodchuck). Lineage: Eukaryota; Metazoa; Chordata; Mammalia; Rodentia; Sciuridae. The record is from RNAcentral.